This is a small nucleolar RNA of Hevea brasiliensis (rubber tree), 88 nucleotides long. RefSeq annotates it as small nucleolar RNA R38. The transcript has a single exon. The record is from RefSeq and is a predicted model, not a curated record. NCBI's taxonomy places the organism in Eukaryota, Viridiplantae, Streptophyta, Magnoliopsida, Malpighiales, Euphorbiaceae.
UGUUGUGUGUGAUGAGAAAUGUAAAUUAUCACACAGUUAUCCCUGUCUGAUACAUUUUUGUGCUGAUUACAUGUUAUCUGACACAAAC